CUCUAAUAGUUUAUGAAAACAUC
Molecule: transfer RNA, 23 nt
Filed under: Metriopelia ceciliae (bare-faced ground-dove)
Lineage: Eukaryota; Metazoa; Chordata; Aves; Columbiformes; Columbidae
Also listed under: 2 other names
Description: partial tRNA-Thr
Source: RNAcentral